Small nucleolar RNA from Lycium barbarum (goji berry), 107 nucleotides. NCBI's taxonomy places the organism in Eukaryota, Viridiplantae, Streptophyta, Magnoliopsida, Solanales, Solanaceae. The record is from RefSeq and is a predicted model, not a curated record.
AUUCCAUGGUGAGGACAUUUUCUUAACAAAGUUUUUAAUCUUUCCCAAGCUUGGUAAACUGAUUCAGUAUCAUUUUGAACAAAAUUAUUGAUAUCUAGUCUCAUUUU